Molecule: ribosomal RNA, 479 nt
Filed under: uncultured bacterium
Lineage: Bacteria
Description: partial 16S ribosomal RNA
Rfam family: Bacterial small subunit ribosomal RNA
Source: RNAcentral
AUUGAACGCUGGCGGCAUGCUUUACACAUGCAAGUCGAACGGUAACAGGCCGCAAGGUGCUGACGAGUGGCGCACGGGUGAGUAAUGCAUCGGAACGUGCCCAGUCGUGGGGGAUAACUACUCGAAAGAGUAGCUAAUACCGCAUACGAUCUAUGGAUGAAAGCGGGGGACCGUAAGGCCUCGCGCGAUUGGAGCGGCCGAUGUCAGAUUAGGUAGUUGGUGGGGUAAAGGCUCACCAAGCCAACGAUCUGUAGCUGGUCUGAGAGGACGACCAGCCACACUGGGACUGAGACACGGCCCAGACUCCUACGGGAGGCAGCAGUGGGGAAUUUUGGACAAUGGGCGCAAGCCUGAUCCAGCAAUGCCGCGUGCAGGAAGAAGGCCUGCGGGUUGUAAACUGCUUUUGUACGGAACGAAACGGCUCUGGUUAAUACCCGGGGCUAAUGACGGUACCGUAAGAAUAAGCACCGGCUAACUAC